This 719-nucleotide ribosomal RNA is filed under the name uncultured Pseudomonadota bacterium. RNAcentral's name for it is "bacterial SSU rRNA". It matches the Rfam family "Bacterial small subunit ribosomal RNA", at positions 68 to 776 of the family's 1533-position model. Lineage: Bacteria; Pseudomonadati; Pseudomonadota. The record is from RNAcentral.
GGUAACAGGAAGAAGCUUGCUUCUUUGCUGACGAGUGGCGGACGGGUGAGUAAUGUCUGGGAAACUGCCUGAUGGAGGGGGAUAACUACUGGAAACGGUAGCUAAUACCGCAUAACGUCGCAAGACCAAAAAGGGGGACCUUUGGGCCUCUUGCCAUCGGAUGUGCCCAGAUGGGAUUAGCUAGUAGGUGGGGUAACGGCUCACCUAGGCGACGAUCCCUAGCUGGUCUGAGAGGAUGACCAGCCACACUGGAACUGAGACACGGUCCAGACUCCUACGGGAGGCAGCAGUGGGGAAUAUUGCACAAUGGGCGCAAGCCUGAUGCAGCCAUGCCGCGUGUAUGAAGAAGGCCUUCGGGUUGUAAAGUACUUUCAGCGGGGAGGAAGGGAGUAAAGUUAAUACCUUUGCUCAUUGACGUUACCCGCAGAAGAAGCACCGGCUAACUCCGUGCCAGCAGCCGCGGUAAUACGGAGGGUGCAAGCGUUAAUUGGAAUUACUGGGCGUAAAGCGCACGCAGGCGGUUUGUUAAGUCAGAUGUGAAAUCCCCGGGCUCAACCUGGGAACUGCAUCUGAUACUGGCAAGCUUGAGUCUCGUAGAGGGGGGUAGAAUUCCAGGUGUAGCGGUGAAAUGCGUAGAGAUCUGGAGGAAUACCGGUGGCGAAGGCGGCCCCCUGGACGAAGACUGACGCUCAGGUGCGAAAGCGUGGGGAGCAAACAGG